Molecule: ribosomal RNA, 486 nt
Filed under: Triticum aestivum (bread wheat)
Lineage: Eukaryota; Viridiplantae; Streptophyta; Magnoliopsida; Poales; Poaceae
Description: partial small subunit ribosomal RNA
Source: RNAcentral
AUGACCCGCAUCCUACAACUUCAAAGAAGUAUUUGUAUCACACCCGAGCAAUGGACCGUGGAAGGAGUUUCAUUCAUUUACGGAGUUUGGAAGCGAGGACGAUCCAGGAUCGACUGCUAUCAGAAGAAGUGGAAUGGAUCUGAUUACCCAUUGGCGUCUGCAUUGACGCUUCUAACUAGCCCUACUUUGUGUCUUUUGUGUUUUCUUAUUCAUGUACUCAUGUAUAUUUCUAUUUGUAUGAUACUUAUAUUACAAUCGAUCUAUCCCUUGGUCCUGCCAAUCGAAUUGUGAAGUAUGUUUUUCCCUUUCGAAAUGGUGACAGUACCAAAUGCCGAAUUAGCGGUUGUACCGGGUCAGGACCAUAAACACCACGAGCUGGUUAAGCAACAGAAGCUAUGGGCGAAAGCACACUCGUCAUUCUCAGACCUGCGGUCGAGGUACGUGCGAACAAGUUCCCAUUCUCUAUGUUUCAUGGCCUAUCAAUGA